GUUAUCGUUUAUUUGAUAGUACCUUACUACUUGGAUAACCGUGGUAAUCCUAGAGCUAAUACAUGCUAAAAACCCCGACUUCGGAAGGGGUGUAUUUAUUAGAUAAAAAACCAAUGCCCUUCGGGGCUCCUUGGCGAUUCAUAAUAACUUAACGAAUCGCAUGGCCUUGUGCCGGCGAUGGUUCAUUCAAAUUUCUGCCCUAUCAACUUUCGAUGGUAUGGUCUUGGCUUACCAUGGUUUCAACGGGUAACGGGGAAUUAGGGUUCUAUUCCGGAGAGGGAGCCUGAGAAACGGCUACCACAUCCAAGGAAGGCAGCAGGCGCGCAAAUUACCCAAUCCCGACACGGGGAGGUAGUGACAAUAAAUACUGAUACAGGGCUCUUUUGGGUCUUGUAAUUGGAAUGAGUACAAUUUAAAUCCCUUAACGAGGAACAAUUGGAGGGCAAGUCUGGUGCCAGCAGCCGCGGCAAUUCCAGCUCCAAUAGCGUAUAUUAAAGUUGUUGCAGUUAAAAAGCUCGUAGUUGAACCUUGG
This 532-nucleotide ribosomal RNA is filed under the name uncultured fungus. RNAcentral's name for it is "SSU rRNA". It matches the Rfam family "Eukaryotic small subunit ribosomal RNA", at positions 109 to 644 of the family's 1831-position model. Lineage: Eukaryota; Fungi. The record is from RNAcentral.